RNAcentral lists this long non-coding RNA (765 nucleotides) under Heterocephalus glaber (naked mole-rat). Its description in RNAcentral is "lncRNA (ENSHGLG00000045229.1)". The record is from RNAcentral. Lineage: Eukaryota; Metazoa; Chordata; Mammalia; Rodentia; Bathyergidae.
CUGCUCCACAGCUGGGGAGAAGGAUUCCCUCCACCGUGCAGUUCAGGGUGAGGAAGGAUCCCAGCAAACUCUCAGGGUGGACGCCGGCAAUCCUGGCUACUGGAAAGUUCACAUUCUCACAGCCCCGCAGCCCACCUAGGCGAAAACAGUAAGAGGUGGUUUGAUUCUUCCAUUUUGACUCUAGACCACAAACAAUAAAGACUUCCAAGUCUCCUUGGAUCCGUGUAACAGAAAAUUGUUCGAUGUGGUGGGCAGAAGGCCCGGAAGCUGUGGCUGGCCUGGGAGAGUGACUGGCCCGAGCUUCCCCUCCCGACCACCCUGCAGAAGAGAAGUCACCGUCCCUGCAUGGCAGAGCUGUGUUACUACCAAACACAAGUGCGAGGAAGGCUUUUUCUCUGCCAGGGUAACUGCACGGAGCCUUCACUUCUCCCUGCCGUGGACAGCCAGCCGGCCAGGCUCCUCGGAGCUCUCAGUUCGGCCUUGACCUUGGCCCCUGUCCUCGCUAACCGGGUGUGACCCAAGUUUUAGCAAGAAUCUGAUCGAGCUCCAUCUCUCCCCUGUUGUGAUGCUCCUAUUCCAAGAGCCCCAAAUAAAGUCAUCGUUAUUUAACAAGUGUCAAAUUAAUUUUUGAAUACAUUUCAGCAGGAAGCUUAGAGGUUUUAAAAUUUUUUUAGCAUUGCAGAAGCAACAGUUGGGGGAGUGGGUCAUAGUUACUGGCAUAGUAGCCAAUAAUCUAGCCAACCAUUGAACUGUGUUCUGGUAAAU